AUGGCAGACUGUCCGUUUGCCCCUUUCAGUUCUCGCUCUGGUUUAAAAUAAGAAAAAAAAAAAAAAAAUGUACAUUCGAUCAGACCUUAUAUUUGAUACUCGGAGCGCUCAUCAAAGUCAAGAAGAAUAUUUUGUAUAUCCACGAGCUAUACUUUUAUAAACGAGAGAAGUAUCUUCGCUGCCGAAAUUUCGUUCGCAUCCAUCCAAUUCGUGAGUUAAGUGCCGUCUCCAUCCCGAUAAGCCAGAAGGUUAGAAUGCGAGAUUCACUCUGGUUUAGUCGUUCUGUCCAUCUUCUUUGCUACAGUAUUCCGGCGGUCCUGGGAGGAUGUUCGUCCGACCGGGACUGCCGCGCAGAUCGUUUGCCAAAAUAUAUAGGAUGUUGUCUUCAUAAAGCCCUUUCCGGUUCCACCAAAAACCGGAAAAGUUCUUUAUGCAACUCCACGCUUUUGGUUUUUACAGCUUUCCUUUCUCGGUGGCGUCGUACGCCGUCUUGGUUGUCGGCUUCGUUGCUCUCUUUGUACACCAGUUAUACAAAAAAAAAAAAAUAAAUAAAUAAAAAUCCGAUCGGGAGUGCCAACACUUUUACAUCCGUGUA
RNAcentral lists this long non-coding RNA (595 nucleotides) under Androctonus crassicauda. Lineage: Eukaryota; Metazoa; Arthropoda; Arachnida; Scorpiones; Buthidae. The record is from RNAcentral.